CAACAGUGCAUGUCGAUAUUUUCAUCGAUCAACCACUGGUGUCCAUUUUAGACUGCGGAAUCUAGUGGCUAGUUGGUAGUACCCAUAUUCGGUGCAAUGCUUUGAUUACAAUGUUCAGUGGUGGUUCUGUAUAGUGCUAGCCCGCUGGUAUUCUUCCUUUUGAUACAUAGUUAUAGAAAUUAUUAUGGAAGGGACGCUUUACCUUAUAGGCCAUAUGCGCUUUGAGCAUUGAUCAAUUAUUUUUCAUAUGUUGCACAUUUACCUGUUUUGUUUCAUUCACGGACGGCCAUGGGCGUAAUCCCUGUUUUGUUUUGCGCAGUUUGAAUCUAUUUUUUAAAAGACAAAGGGAAAUAAGUUUAUGACUCGGGUGACCAAAGACCAAAGGAAUUCAGGUUCACCUAUAGCUCAACUGAAGAUGCUGUAGGUUUCAUCAGGGACAGUUGAAGACGAGAUAUUGGAGGAAACCAAAUCUUGUGCCACUAUAGCUGAAGAUUUGGUUCCAUCCAAAUCUCACAUUCAGCUUGCGAGGUUUGGUUCUUGAGACAGGCCCAGGUGUCCAUCCAACUAUCACUUGUUGUAGCUAACACUCAGUGUCUGACAUAUGAACAUAAGAUAUUGGAGGAAACCAAAUCUUGCCACACCCGGCGGUAAGAUUUGGUCCCAUCCAACACUCAAAUUCAUCUGCCAAAAUUUUCCAAGUUGCGAGGGCCAGACAGCGUUGAAGAUAAGAUGUUGGAGAAAACUGAACUCGUGAAGAAAUGAGUGUCUGGGGACAUGGGAGAAGAGUUCAGUUUCCCACAACUCUUACUUGCGGAGCUAGCUACUACUAAAAUCAUGCUUUGAGUUUGACCUGAACAUUUGAGACUCGCGGCUGGCCCUUUUAUAGGCAUUUCAGAUCAACAUCUGGUUCCUGCUCUGAUCCAUUCUUUCAUUCUCCAGCACGAGCUGUGCAUGCUCUGCAAACAGUUCCUGAAAAGCGGUUCUGCUUUCCAACAAACUCUGACCAGGAUUAUCGAUCCUUUGCUAUGUUCUUGCAUUUCAGAUGCUUUUACGCCCUGCAAAACAGGAAUACAUGCUGAAUAUUGUGAAGCAAAAUCUGCAGUUGUAUAUUUCGUCCCAUAUUACACAUGCCACCCGAAAGAAACUGAACUUUUCAAAUAUUUUCGAAUAUGUUUUUAUGAGACCUUGUGCAAAGUUAAGAGCCUUGCAGAACCGAGUGCUCUUUUCCCUCCCAUGUAAUUCAAAAGCUAAUACUCAGCUAAGAGCAUCUCCAACAGACACGCAACGCGCGGCGCGCUAAAAAAACGUUUGCAGCACGCUGUUCACGAGUUUUUGCGCCGCGAGGAGCGCUUGCUCCAGCGGCUGCUGCAAAGUUUAGCGCGCGCGAGCUGCUCCAGCAGGCGCUACAAAAAAAAAUGUGCUAUGCGCUCAAAACAAAUAAAAAAAGUGAUACAUAGAUAAAAAAAAGUGAUACAUAGAUAAAAAAAAAAGCGAUACAUAGAUAGUUCAUCUAGGAUAGAUAAGUUUUAAAAAAAAAAGACUACGGUGCAACUAGAAGCUACUCCGAGUCGUCCUUCUCCUCCUCCUCGCUUGUGUCGUUCGACGUAUCAAGCCACGCGUCUUCGCACCGCUCAUCGUCGCUAGAGAAGAAUGAUGUCGCUCCCAGAUCGUAUUGCGAUAUCGCCAGUGCCUUCUGACGACGUAUGUCCGCCCGUUUCUCGCGCCGCCUUGCCCUCCUCUCCGCCCAGAAGGCAUGCUCGUUGGCGACGUCCUCCGGGUGGCGCUGGCGCCACUCUGCCAUGGCUUGCUCGUCCGGCUCGGUGAUGAGGAGGCGGCGCUGCCGCUGACGGUGUUCCUGACGGUCGGCGUCAGUUAUUAGCCGCGGCGGAAGAGCGACGGUAUGCGCCUGCUCGCACGUCCAGACGUCCUGGAAGUUCAUCUAUGUCCGAGGCCUCCCGAGGUGCCACACCGCCGUGUCGUACGCGCGAGCGGCCUCGUGCGCAGUCUCGAACAUGCCGAGGCCGAGGCGGACGUCGUCGGACCGAAUCUUAGCGUAGAAGACGCCGGAGGGGCGCUGCGGACGCCGCGGUAGCCCGAAGAUCCCCGGCGGCACGGAGGCAUGGUGGCACGAUGGUGGCGCGUCGGCAACGAGGCGAGGAAGCGACAGAGAAAGCGGGGAGAAAGCGCGUGGCGAGGUGCAGAGCGAUGGGAGGCCGCGUGGUGGGCGUAGCAAUUUAUAGACGCGCCGGAAGCGGCGCGCCAAAUCUAACGCGCGACCACCCGCUUUUUUCCGCGUGCGCACAAUCGUUUCCCACCUGCGCUGGAGCGCGCGAAACCGUCCCGCGCGCGCUAAAAUCGCAUUUUAGCGUGGGGGAAGGGNNNNNNNNNNNNNNNNNNNNNNNNNNNNNNNNNNNNNNNNNNNNNNNNNNNNNNNNNNNNNNNNNNNNNNNNNNNNNNNNNNNNNNNNNNNNNNNNNNNNNNNNNNNNNNNNNNNNNNNNNNNNNNNNNNNNNNNNNNNNNNNNNNNNNNNNNNNNNNNNNNNNNNNNNNNNNNNNNNNNNNNNNNNNNNNNNNNNNNNNNNNNNNNNNNNNNNNNNNNNNNNNNNNNNNNNNNNNNNNNNNNNNNNNNNNNNNNNNNNNNNNNNNNNNNNNNNNNNNNNNNNNNNNNNNNNNNNNNNNNNNNNNNNNNUGCAGCCGCUGUUGGAGAUGCUCAGUAAUUAGUAUUGUCAUCAGAAGUAAUAAUAGUUAACAUUUGAUUAGCACUAAUAAUGAUUAAUACUCAAACUUCUCUGCAUUUUUUAUGGUAGCAGUUAGAGUAGUAAUAAUUAGGUUAAUUCACUAAACCUAGUUGAGCUUGCAUUUUGGCGUUGCCGUUCGCCUAACAAGCUUUCGCCUAUAUACUCUUUGGCUAAUUAACUUUUUUCUGUUUUCGCGACUAUUCUCCGCUGUAAAUUGUAAGUGGGUUCAGUACAACACAGUUUAGUGACAUAACUCGAGACCGAGAAAUUAAAAUAAAGCAGAAAUCCGUUACUCCAAAAGUUGGAGUGUUGGGCAUUAUCAUACAAAGCUUGUGGUGUAUAUUUUUCCCGAAUUUGGACAAUCCUAGGUGUCACAAUGCUCCAAAAUUUAGAACUUUCCUGCUAUUCAAGUUUUGAAACUGAUUCAACUACUUGUGUAUUGGGUGUUCGUUAAAGAGUAUCUGUCAAUUGACAAUUGAGAGAAUCAAGAGCGUAGUUUUAGUUGUGGGAAUCAACAAUUUAGUGAUACUAAUGUUUCCACUUUGUAUAUAUAUACUGUAAAUGCUUCGGGAGAUGUUAAUUUGUUCUGUUGUGUUAUUUCAGUUAUCUUGUUUUAGAUCCUUUUAGGUUAUAAGUGCUUUCUUAGUCUGUGCACAUUAUGAGCUGAGUACAUAUAUAGUGGAUCUAGUAGGCUUUUUUUUCAGUCGGGAUCUAGUAGGCUUUUAACAUUACUAGCACUACAUGUUCUAUCUGCACUUGUACAACACCUCCACCGGUCAUGCACUGAUUAAGGGUGGGUUAGUUUUUUUAGAUGAAGAAUUGACUGGCUAGUUCGCCCACUAUAAUCACUUCCAUAUUCUUCUUGUAUUCACCCUGUAUUUCUUUUGUAAUAAUUACUGGCUCACUAGGAUUGUCUAUCCCUAGUUGUUGUCGAAAUACUUGGUUUCCAAAUCAGAUCGUGAAUCCUUAUUUCCCACACGUGACUGGUUUGGACGGUUGCAGGGAUGCCACGUCGUUGCUAUUUCAGGGCUUUGGUCACACUGUUCAGCCAAGCUACAUGUAGUUAUUGUGAUGCGCGUGUGAUGGUGGCUAGUGACUGUAACCUCCAUAAUCGGUGAGUGAAGAUUUGAUCAUAACAGAAAGAAAGGAAAACAAGCAGGACAAGAAGAUAUGAUAUGCAGACAAAUCACAUGCCCACACCCUAUAUACUCUAGACUUCUCUAUUUAGUUAUACCUAAAUUAUCUAUAAAAUCAUAGCUACACCUAAACUGCCUGUCAAAAAGUAGUUGCAGUUAGGAUAUUUUAAGAUUGUACUCUAAAAUGUUGUAUAAAGGUUCCAUAGACAUUAAAACAGACACAAACACACUAUAAUAAGUCCUAAGAAACACAAAUUACUUUGUAGAGUACUAUGUAAAUGACAUCCAUUCGUGAUAGAUACAUUCCCUGAAAACACGCAAUAGGAAGAAAAAGAUCUAACUCAAACUUCUAGUAUUUAGAAAAUACAUUACAAUUUGCAUGGUGAAAAUAGUAUCAUUGGAUUAUUAUUUUAACAUGUAGCCAUAACAUAAUUUUUGGUAAUUUUCUAUUAGCAUGUACAUACAAAACAUAAUGAUUAAAGAUGCAUAUUAGAGAUUAUAUGAUAUCUAAGACACAAUCUAUUUACGAUUGGGAAAGUAAACAUUGAGAUUUAUACUAAAUAUCAAUAGAAAUCAUGUUAGCUACAGGCAAAAAAGUUUAAUAUAAAUAGUUAAGUAUAUGUUGAAUGCGUGAUAUUGCAUAUAUAGAUUAUUUUCUUGUACGCCAAGCCCACCUCGUGUUUUCUUGUAUAGAUUGAGGGCAUGGUCCAUCUUGUACAUCAUAUAUAUGUGUGUGUAUAUUGCACCCGAUCAAUACAUGGUGUUGCAUUGCCAAACUACAUGGUAUCAGAUAGAUUCCAAUCCUAGCUCUAUCUUCCGCUCUCGCGCUGCUGCCGUGCCCUAUUCUCCUCGGGCCGCCGCCACGCGCCGCCGUGCAAUGCCUUUUUCCAUCCUAGCCGCCUUUGUUGCCGCUGCACCUGUUUGCUGCCGCCACAAACUCCAUCUACUUCUACUAGUGCCUUUUGCUGCCAUCCCAAAAUUAUCUAGAUUCGGAUUUCUGUUCAUCUAUGUGUACUACUGCCAGAUCUCCAUAUGUCUGAUAACCCCGUCGCCGUCGCGGCCGCUAAUCAUGUCAUUAAUUUAAUUGAUCUAUAUUCUAGUAGGCACACACAUCUGCUAAGAUUCCUCUACACUGCUAUACACAUAUAUCUCCUCUAUCUCGUCCCGUGUACACCCUUUCCCGGUCUCUUCGGUCCUCGUCUUGCGCAACACCAUGCUUACUUUGUCUGCCCAUGGCUGCAGGGUGCCUACCCCAUGCUGCCAUCUCCCCCGAUGCAGCCAGCCGACGCCUACUACACCACCAACAUGGUGCCUUCGCUGCCUCCGGAGCCGUGGGAUCCUUACCUCUUUGCAGCUUUUCCUUCGGUUCCAUCACCGAGCAACUAUACCUGUAGCGAUGAUUGGUAUAUGGAUACUGGUGUUACUGCUCACAUGGCCUCCCAUCAUGGUAACGUUCAUAGUUUUCACCCUAUCAAUACUUUCACUCGCAUUACCAUCGGUGAUGGCUCCUCUCUACCUAUUACACAUAUAGGACAUGCAUCUUUUCCUUCGUCAUCCAUGCCAUUGUCUCUGUCUAACAUACUUGUUUCGCCUCAUCAAGAAUCUUAUUUCCAUUCGAUUUUUACUCGCAAAAAUCCAGUUACUGUUGAAUUUGACGAGUUUGUGUUUUCUGUCAAGGACGCUCGUACCCGGAUGGUGCUCGACCAAUGUGACAGCCCUGACGAGCUAUACCCGGUCCACCCAUCCUCUUCCAUCGCCAUCGCUCCAAUUGCCUUCUCCGCUAGUGAGGAUCUUUGGCACGCUCGUUUGGGCCAUCCCAACUCCGCUACACUUCGUCACAUUCUUCAGGCAAACACGUUCAUCUUCCAUUCAGUGCAUCAUCCACUAUAGCAUCAUAUUCCUUUGAGUUAAAUUCAUAGUGAUGUUUGGACCUCAACAGUUGCAAGUAACACAGGCUAUCUUUAUUAUCUUGUCAUUCUAGAUGAUUUUUCUAACUAUGUGCAGACAUUUUCGUUAUGGCGAAAAUCUGAUGUUUUACCCACCCUCACCGCCUUUUACUCGUAUGUCAGCACACAGUUUGGUCGCCCCAUUUAUGCCCUUCAGACUAACAAUGGAUAAGAGUUUGAUAAUCUCUUCAUCCGUAACUUACUCGCCACACAUGGUAUGAUUUUUUUGUCUUACUUGCCCUUAUACUUCGCAACAAAACCGGCGUGCUGAGCGUGUCCUUCGCACUCUUAACGACUGUGUCCGCACACUUCUCUUUCACGCAAAUGUCCCACCUUAUUUUUGGCCAGAUGCUCUUGCCACAACAUCUCUUCUCCUUAAUAUCCGACCAUGUCGGACUCGUUGGAGUUAUGCACCACACCAUCUCUUAUAUGGCACUCCACCGUCCUACGAUGAGCUUCGAGUUUUUGGAUGUCUAUGUUAUCCUAGCAUCGCUUCUACCACACCCCCAUAAGCUCGCUCGCGCUCUCUUGCAUGUAUCUUCCUCGGAUAUCCCGCCAACACAAUGGGCUACGGGUGCUAUGAUCCAGUCUCUCACCGUGUGAUCACCUCGAGACACGUUUUCUGAUGAAAGGGUGUUUUUGUUUCAGCAGGUCUAUCCGGGUGUCGCUUCAUCAAUGGUCACCCUCCAUCGAUGGCUCCUCGCCGGGCGUCCGGACCGUCCCGACCGCUUCUCAGCAGCCACGUGGGGGUCGCCUGCGCUCGACUCUUGGACGACCUCCUGGCAUCCCAGCACGGGUGCCCACUUCAGACACAUGUACUCCAGCCACCGGCUCGCUGUCUGCCUCGCCUGUUGUGGCUGGAGGCUCGGACGCCACAGGAGCCGGCUCGGUGCUACCUCGCCCGGUGUUUCUGGAGGUUCAGGUGCCAUGGGCGCUAGCUUGGUGCCCGCCUUGCCCUCUGCAGCUGGCGGCUCGGCCCUGACCUCGCCUGACUCCGCUGUCGCCGCCGAGUCGCCGACCAUCUCCAUGCCUGCCACCUCGGUGCGCUCGACUGGGGGUGUCUCCUCUGUGGCGGGUUCUUCAUCACCAUCCUCACCCGUCGCCUCAAAGGUCCCGCCCGCCCCGUCACCCCCAUGAUGCAUGGUGACUCGUGCUCGAGCUGGCAUAUUCUUUGCCCGAGUAACCGAUAUCCAGCCGACGAUUACUUGUGCGCUGCCUCGACAUCCACACCAUCGCCAGUACCAUCAUCGGCUCGCGCCGCUCUUCGCGACCCUAACUGGCUCGCCGCGAUGCGGGAGGAGUUUGAUGCGUUGCCCGCAAUCAGACCUGACAGCUUAUUCCUCGACCUCGUCACGCCAACAUCAUCAUCGGGAAGUGGGUGUUCCGUCAUAAGACGCGACCUGAUGGCACUCUCGAGUGGUACAAGGCUCGCGGGGUGGUUCAUGGUUUUCGUCAGUAUGCCGGUGUUGACUUCACCGACACAUUCGCACCAGUGUCAAGCCGGGCACGAUCCGUACCGUUCUGCAGAUUGUAGUGUCCCGUGCUUGACCAGUGCAUCAAAUGGACGUCUCGGACGCCUUCCUGCACGGAUAUCUUGCAGAACUGUUCUACUGCUAGCAGCCCAUCGGAUUCGUCAACGCCGAUAAUCCAGACCAUGUGUGCUAGCUCUCGCGCUCUUUCUAUGGGCUCAAGCAAGCCCCACGUGAGUGGUACCAGCGGAUCGCCAACUUUCUUUAGCGGCUUGGGUUCUUAGCUACUCGCUCCAAUGCCUCACUGUUCGUCAGUUCGUGUAUCAUCCGGUCCUGCGACUGCUUACCUCUUGCUCUACGUCGACGAUAUCAUUUUGACGGCUUUACCUUAUAGAAAUUAUUAUGGAAGGGACGCUUUACCUUAUAGGCCAUAUGCGCUUUGAGCAUUGAUCAAUUAUUUUUCAUAUGUUGCACAUUUACCUGUUUUGUUUCAUUCACGGACGGCCAUGGGCGUAAUCCCUGUUUUGUUUUGCGCAGUUUGAAUCUAUUUUUUAAAAGACAAAGGGAAAUAAGUUUAUGACUCGGGUGACCAAAGACCAAAGGAAUUCAGGUUCACCUAUAGCUCAACUGAAGAUGCUGUAGGUUUCAUCAGGGACAGUUGAAGACGAG
This 7957-nucleotide long non-coding RNA is filed under the name Triticum aestivum (bread wheat). Its description in RNAcentral is "long non-coding RNA (TAES_LNC015794)". The record is from RNAcentral. Lineage: Eukaryota; Viridiplantae; Streptophyta; Magnoliopsida; Poales; Poaceae.